This 550-nucleotide ribosomal RNA is filed under the name uncultured bacterium. RNAcentral describes it as "partial 16S ribosomal RNA". It matches the Rfam family "Bacterial small subunit ribosomal RNA", at positions 355 to 895 of the family's 1533-position model. The record is from RNAcentral.
UGGGGAAUUUUGGACAAUGGGCGCAAGCCUGAUCCAGCCAUGCCGCGUGCGGGAAGAAGGCCUUCGGGUUGUAAACCGCUUUUGUCAGGGAAGAAAUCUUCUGAGUUAAUACCUCGGGAGGAUGACGGUACCUGAAGAAUAAGCACCGGCUAACUACGUGCCAGCAGCCGCGGUAAUACGUAGGGUGCAAGCGUUAAUCGGAAUUACUGGGCGUAAAGCGUGCGCAGGCGGUUUUGUAAGACAGAGGUGAAAUCCCCGGGCUCAACCUGGGAACUGCCUUUGUGACUGCAAGGCUUGAGUGUGGCAGAGGGGGAUGGAAUUCCGCGUGUAGCAGUGAAAUGCGUAGAUAUGCGGAGGAACACCGAUGGCGAAGGCAAUCCCCUGGGCCUGCACUGACGCUCAUGCACGAAAGCGUGGGGAGCAAAACAGGAUUAGAUACCCCUGGUAGUCCACGCCCUAAAACGAUGUCAACUGGUUGUUGGGAAGGUUCCUUCUCAGUAACGUAGCUAACGCGUGAAGUUGACCGCCUGGGGAGUACGGCCGCAAGGUU